Molecule: ribosomal RNA, 253 nt
Filed under: uncultured bacterium
Lineage: Bacteria
Description: partial 16S ribosomal RNA
Rfam family: Bacterial small subunit ribosomal RNA
Source: RNAcentral
UACAGAGGGUGCAAGCGUUGUUCGGAAUUAUUGGUCGUAAAGCGUCUGUAGGUGGCUUUUUAAGUCCGCCGUCAAAUCCCAGGGCUCAACUCUGGACAGGCGGUGGAAACUACCAAGCUGGAGUAUGGUAGGGGCAGAGGGAAAUUUCGGUGGAGCGGUGAAAUGCGUAGAGAUCGGAAAGAACACCAACGGCGAAAGCACUCUGCUGGGCCGACACUGACACUGAGAGACGAAAGCUAGGGGAGCGAAUGGG